Molecule: non-coding RNA, 148 nt
Filed under: Homo sapiens (human)
Lineage: Eukaryota; Metazoa; Chordata; Mammalia; Primates; Hominidae
Source: Rfam by way of RNAcentral
GCCUGGUGCAAUGGCUCGCACCUGUAAUCCCAGCCCUUUGGGAGGCUGAGGCAGGAGGAUCGCUUGAGCCCAGGAGGUUGAGGCUGCAGUGAGCUGCAUUCACACCACUGCACUCCAUCCUGGGCAACAGAGUGAGACCCUGUCUCAA